RNA transcript from Rhineura floridana, 2089 nucleotides. It is a transcript of the gene named collagen alpha-1(I) chain-like, with no coding region annotated. Lineage: Eukaryota; Metazoa; Chordata; Lepidosauria; Squamata; Rhineuridae. The transcript has 4 exons. The record is from RefSeq and is a predicted model, not a curated record.
GGAGGAGCGCAGGCGCCGCCCGGCCGCGCCUUCAGGUACGGGCAACGAGGGCGGCUCCGCCUGCCCAGGAGUCGCCUCUGGGGCCCGCUUCGGGGCGCUUGCUUUAAGAGGCGUCCCCGUUGCCGACCCGGGCGCUACUCCCGAGGCCGCGCCGCCGCGAGCGGGAGGAAGCCGCCUUGGCCCGCCCCGAUCCUCCCCACGCGGAAAGCCCCGCCUGAGCGCCGAGGGACCUUACUCCCGAGGAGCCGGAAGGGUUCGCCGCCCGCGCGCCCCGCGGUGAGGCUGAGCCCCGCUUCCUGCAACCGUGUAAGGCAACGCUGCUGGGCGUAGCUACUCGGAAGUAAAGCCCAUGGCGUAAGCGCGUAAAGGGUUUUCCUGCGGGUGCAAGUCCGAUGCAAGUAACACUUGGAAAUAAAAACCCACCCGGGGUUGAAUGGGACUCCUCGUGUCCGCCAAAGAAGCGCGCGAUCCUUGCUUGCCCUCUCGGGUCUGGACCGCUCCUGGUAGAAGGAAAGAAGAAAUCAAACAAUAUAUACACCAAGGUUCAACAUACAAACAAUCGUGAUAGAUGAAUUAAUACCUCACAGGGUUGUUGCGAGGAUGAAACGGGGAGGGGAGAACCGUGCGUGCGCCACUUUGAGCUCCUUAGAGGAAAGGCGGGAUAUAAAUGUAAUAAAUAACUAAAAGGCAGGUGGUGAAAUGAAGGGGAAAGUUUUGGUGGUGUGACCCUCAACCCUGCCUGUGCAAGUAUACUGAAAAGCAAGCCUCUCCGGGUUCAUUGGAACUUAACUCCCAGGCAACUAUGCCUGCGGCUGUAGUGAAAAGAUGUGUAGAGACCCGCAAGGAACUGAAAAACAGAAAGCCGAAGAACCAAUCGCGCAUCUAAGCAUCUUGAUCUCCGAGUUACACCGGCCCAUCCCUUACCAGUGCCACUCCCUCUCAGAGACUGGAGUCCGGCCCUUGGUUACCACAGGUGGAAUCCACAAAAUAUUUUAACCCCCUUUUUAUUAUUUAAAACCAAGCAAGGGUGAAAGUGGAUAACAAGAUGAGCUUUGUUUGAAAUGGAAAUUGACCUUCUUCAAGUCGAUUCCAAUUUAUGGCGACCCUGAGAAUAAGUGAUUUCACAUCCGCACUUGGAGAUCAGGAAUACCAUGGUCUGAAUGAUCCCGACUUUAGUGUUCAAUGAUGAACACUGGUGGGACCUAUUUCUGGGUAAAUGCAGGAGCCCAGGAUGGCAAACAGAAGCGCUAAAAACACAUCAAAACAUCAUAAAAACAGACCUUAAAACACACCAAAACAACUUUAAAAACAUUAAAAAAAAAAGCUUUUAAAUGCCUAAUUUAGUGGUGGAGAACCUCCAGAAGUAAUAAACUACAAAAUCUCCGCUCAGCAUCACCAAUUGCCAGAGAUAUCUUUGGCUGAUGCCUCAUGACGCUGCACUUGGCACUGACAUUGCUACUCCCUUUCCUUUGAUGUUGCCUUCGUACAAUGGCUUCUAAAUUAUUUAAAAUGCAAACAUCUGGAUAAAAUAAGCCGGAAACGUCAGGGCUGGCUUUGCACACCUAUGCAUGUAGGGCUGAAGUGGAAACAUGGAAGAAAUUGGAGAAGUUGGAGCAUUUGAAAUGGUGCAAUUUUGAGUGUGGACGAAGUCUCCAAUCAAGCAAAAGUGAAAUUGUACAGACCAUAUCCAGCUGUGAAUAGUUUAAAGUUUUAUUUGAACUUGUGUUUCUUCUUUAAAAAAACAGAUGAUGAAGCUCACAUUUUUACUGAAGCAGGAAGAGUGAGAAUUAGGUAACAGCAAUAUGUUGCUUAUUAUGCUGUUAUGUUGUAAACCACCCUGUAGUCUUUUGACAAAGAGCAGUAUAUAAAGGGUAUUUGAAGUACAAGUGAUUGAUUAUACAUUUUAAAGUGAGUGACAGAAGGAACUCUUGGGUAUAAUGUUAGUGUUUUCUUUCUUUUUUCAAAAAAUUUGAUCGAAAGAUAACCAAGUUUAUUUUUAAUGUAUGUAUAUCAGCACAAAUACAAGUGGCGCACAAACAGAAAUAAACUUUACCUUAAAUUCAGGAAUGUGAAAGAUGUCCUGGUCUCU